Molecule: unclassified non-coding RNA, 614 nt
Filed under: Hevea brasiliensis (rubber tree)
Lineage: Eukaryota; Viridiplantae; Streptophyta; Magnoliopsida; Malpighiales; Euphorbiaceae
Source: RNAcentral
CAGGAGGAUGGUAAUGAGACUACUAAAGACAUGAUAGGAGCAGAGAAUGGUGCUGCUGAUGAUAGCACUGAAGCCUCCAGUCCCAGCAGAGAAAUGUCAAGCGUCAAGCCUAGUAUUGAUCCUUUUGAUGACAAGCAGACUGAUCCUUUGAAGGCUAACGCAAUGAGGAGCUCUCUGUGGGAAGUUGACACACUCCGCCAUCACUACUGCCCGCCUGUUUCAAGAUUUGUUUUGUCCCUUGAGAACGAUUUGACAGUCAGAGCUAAAACUACUGAAGUAUCAGUCAAGGAUUUCAGUUCUGGUUCAUAUGCAACAAUUUUUGGUGAUGAGAUUAGGAGGCGAGUUAAACAGGUCCCUCUUGCGUUCUACACAGCAACUCCAACUAUGUUGUUUCCGGAGUCUGAUUUUAUAGGUUGGACUUUCAAAAUGAAGGAUAAGGAUAGUGCUACAAUUUCUGCAAAACGAAGUCGAGUGGAGGAGACCUCAUGAUAUUAUCGUGAACCAAAUGGAAGCAAUUCUUUUGAUAAUUUCACUAAGCUGUACUUGAAUGCAUGGCUUAAUUAAAUGUCUUGUAUUUCGUCACUGUAGACUAGUCAGGGUGAGUAUAAAUUUUG